Molecule: ribosomal RNA, 254 nt
Filed under: uncultured bacterium
Lineage: Bacteria
Description: partial 16S ribosomal RNA
Rfam family: Bacterial small subunit ribosomal RNA
Source: RNAcentral
CACGUAGGGGGCGAGCGUUGUCCGGAUUUAUUGGGCGUAAAGAGCUCGUAGGCGGUUUCGUUAGUCGGGUGUGAAAACUCCAGGCUCAACCUGGAGACGCCACCCGAUACUGCGAUGACUAGAGUCCGGUAGGGGAGUGUGGAAUUCCUGGUGUAGCGGUGAAAUGCGCAGAUAUCAGGAGGAACACCAACGGCGAAGGCAGCACUCUGGGCCGUGACUGACGCUGAGGAGCGAAAGCGUGGGUAGCAAACAGG